UACAGAGGGGGCAAGCGUUGUUCGGAAUUACUGGGCGUAAAGGGCGCGUAGGCGGCCUGCUAAGUCGAACGUGAAAUCCCCGGGCUUAACCCGGGAACUGCGUCCGAUACUGGCAGGCUUGAAUCCGGGAGAGGGAUGUGGAAUUCCAGGUGUAGCGGUGAAAUGCGUAGAUAUCGGAAGGAACGCCGGUGGCGAAAGCGAGCUGCUGGAUCCCUCCUGACGCUCAGGUGCGAAAGCCAGGGGAGCGAACGGG
This 253-nucleotide ribosomal RNA is filed under the name uncultured bacterium. RNAcentral's name for it is "partial 16S ribosomal RNA". It matches the Rfam family "Bacterial small subunit ribosomal RNA", at positions 524 to 776 of the family's 1533-position model. The record is from RNAcentral.